Molecule: ribosomal RNA, 462 nt
Filed under: uncultured bacterium
Lineage: Bacteria
Description: partial 16S ribosomal RNA
Rfam family: Bacterial small subunit ribosomal RNA
Source: RNAcentral
GACGAACGCUGGCGGCGUGCUUAACACAUGCAAGUCGAACGGAAAGGCCCUUCGGGGUACUCGAGUGGCGAACGGGUGAGUAACACGUGGGUGAUCUGCCCUGCACUUUGGGAUAAGCCUGGGAAACUGGGUCUAAUACCGAAUAGGACCACGCGCUUCAUGGUGUGUGGUGGAAAGCUUUUGCGGUGUGGGAUGGGCCCGCGGCCUAUCAGCUUGUUGGUGGGGUAAUGGCCUACCAAGGCGACGACGGGUAGCCGGCCUGAGAGGGUGACCGGCCACACUGGGACUGAGAUACGGCCCAGACUCCUACGGGAGGCAGCAGUGGGGAAUAUUGCACUAUGGGCGCAAGCCUGAUGCAGCGACGCCGCGUGAGGGAUGACGGCCUUCGGGUUGUAAACCUCUUUCAAUAGGGACGAAGCGCAAGUGACGGUACCUAUAGAAGAAGCACCGGCCAACUACGUG